AGUGAACGCUGGCGGUAGGCCUAACACAUGCAAGUCGAACGGCAGCACAGUAAGAGCUUGCUCUUACGGGUGGCGAGUGGCGGACGGGUGAGGAAUACAUCGGAAUCUACUUUUUCGUGGGGGAUAACGUAGGGAAACAUACGCUAAUACCGCAUACGACCUACGGGUGAAAGCAGGAGAUCUUCGGACCUUGCGCGAUUGAAUGAGCCGAUGUCGGAUUAGCUAGUUGGCGGGGUAAGGGCACACCAAGGCGACGAUCCGUAGCUGGUCUGAGAGGAUGAUCAGCCGCACUGGAACUGAGACACGGUCCAGACUCCUACGGGAGGCAGCAGAGGGGAAUAUUGGACAAUGGGCGAAAGACUGAUGCAGCCAUACCGCGUGGGUGAAGAAGGCCUUCGGGUUGUAAAACCAUUUUGUUGGGAAAGAAAAGCAGCAGGUUAAUACCCCGCUGUUCUGACGGUACCCAAAGAAUAAGCACCGGCUAACUUCGUG
Molecule: ribosomal RNA, 492 nt
Filed under: uncultured bacterium
Lineage: Bacteria
Description: partial 16S ribosomal RNA
Rfam family: Bacterial small subunit ribosomal RNA
Source: RNAcentral